Sinocyclocheilus anshuiensis is the source of this 451-nucleotide long non-coding RNA. The record is from Ensembl. Lineage: Eukaryota; Metazoa; Chordata; Actinopteri; Cypriniformes; Cyprinidae.
GCAUUUUUAUGUGCAGCCUUUAGUUUGAUCUCCUGGACACAGAUUUGAGGGAGGAGGAGGAGGAGGAGGACGUGAUGCUGACGGCUGUGAUCCAGAGGAUGGAGCUCCUGACACAGACGGACAAACAGUCGGACAAAUGCAGCAGGUUUAAACCUCUUCAGAUGUUCAAGAAAUCCAGCCGUAAGACUGAAAACACCAGCAGAAGAAAAACAGCUGAAGAACAGAGAGAGGCUGUAGACGUUUAUUAGACGAUGAAAAAGUAAAAACACCCAUCAGGACAAACUGAUGUUUAGUUAGCUCACUUCCUCAUUCUGUGCCGCCUGCACCCAGUAAGGGUUUCUUGAGAUAAUGUUGCCUGUAAUACUUCUGGCCAGAAAGAAUGAUGUCAUGUGAUUUCAAGGAACAUAUACAUUUUUUUUUAUUUUUUAUGUCUACAUAAAGACCAGCGGAG